Thalassophryne amazonica is the source of this 198-nucleotide long non-coding RNA. RefSeq lists it as uncharacterized. NCBI's taxonomy places the organism in Eukaryota, Metazoa, Chordata, Actinopteri, Batrachoidiformes, Batrachoididae. The transcript has 3 exons. The record is from RefSeq and is a predicted model, not a curated record.
UAAGUAAAGUGUGAUGCUUGCUACCUGACCUGAGUACCAUGUGAACUGUGAAAAUAAGGGCUCCCAUGAGCGGGUCAUGAUCUCAUAUAUAAGGCUGACCAUGCGUGCGUGUGUGUUCACGCAUGUACGCUUUCAAGCGAAGGGCCCCAGUGACAUCCCCCUUGGUGCCCCCAGUCACCAUAGUAAGAGGGUCGCCAA